This 207-nucleotide long non-coding RNA is filed under the name Ananas comosus (pineapple). RNAcentral describes it as "long non-coding RNA (ACOM_LNC015074)". The record is from RNAcentral. Lineage: Eukaryota; Viridiplantae; Streptophyta; Magnoliopsida; Poales; Bromeliaceae.
ACGCCGUUUGGAAGACGGCGGGGGAGUGACUUGAACAACUUCAAUCAGUCUUUUGUCUGAAGCUGAGACUAAUAGAGAAGCAGGAAUCGACUGAAAACAGAAAUAAACUAAAAUGAUGAGCAGAGAAAAAUUAUGAUUAAGAUGAGUAGAGAAAUGAUAUUUUACCGAGGAAGAAGGCGGGGCAUCAGAAAUAGGUUCUGGUGGAGA